CUGUAGUUGUGGUCUCUGCUGAUAUUCUUUCUGAAGUCAUAGGCAGUGUUGUUGAAGUAACAGUUGUGGUUUCAGUCCUCACAACUGUGCUUGAGGGACUUUCAGUAGUUGAGUGUGCUGUAGUUACUGAUGUUGUUAUAGGUGCAGUUGUUUCUGAAGAUGUAACCAUAGUUGUUGAAGUAAGAUUUGUGAAUUCUGAAGUUACAGCUCUUGAUGUUGUUGGAUCGUUUGUUGUUGUAGAUGUGGUUGAUGAAGCUGUAGUCAUGGGUUCCGAUCUUGUACUUUCUGAAGUUGUAGGCAAUGUUGUUGAAAUAAAUGUUGUGGAUUCUGGAGUUACUGGUGUUGAUGUUGUUGGAUCGUUUGUUGUUGUAGAUGUGGUUGAUGAAGCUGUAGUUGUGGUCUCUGCUGUUGUUCUUUCUGAAGUCACAGGCAGUGUUGUUGAAGUAAUAGUUGUGGUUUCAGUCCUCACAACUGUGCUUGUGGGACUUUCAGUAGUUGAGUGUGCUGUAGUUACUGAUGUUGUUACA
Long non-coding RNA from Cyprinus carpio carpio, 527 nucleotides. The record is from Ensembl. Lineage: Eukaryota; Metazoa; Chordata; Actinopteri; Cypriniformes; Cyprinidae.